Molecule: ribosomal RNA, 240 nt
Filed under: uncultured bacterium
Lineage: Bacteria
Description: partial 16S ribosomal RNA
Rfam family: Bacterial small subunit ribosomal RNA
Source: RNAcentral
UGGGUAAUCUGCCCUCGAUUCUGGGAUAGCCCGGGGAAACCCGGAUUAAUACCGGAUAGCCUCCCGAGCUUUCGAGCUCGUGAGAAAAGGUAGCUUCGGCCUCCGAUCGAGGAUGAGCCCGCGGCGGAUUAGCUUGUUGGUGGAAUAAUGGCCUACCAAGGCGACGAUCCGUAGCUGGUCUGAGAGGACGAUCAGCCACACUGGGACUGAGACACGGCCCAGACCUCCGUACGGGAGCAG